AAUAUUCGACAAUGGGGGCAACCCUGAUCCAGCCAUGCCGCGUGUGUGAAGAAGGUCUNCGGAUCNUNAAGCACGUUAAGUUGGGNGGAAGGGCUGUCGGCUAAUACCCCGAAGUUUGGACGUUACCAACAGAAUAAGCACGGGCUAACUCUGUGCCAGCAGCCGCGGUAAUCCAGAGGGUGCAAGCGUUAAUCGGAAUUACUGGGGGUAAAGCGAGAGUAGGUGGUUCCGUAAGAUGAAUGUGAAAGCCAAGGGCUUACCCUGGGAACUGCUUUCAGAACUGCUACGCUAGAGUACGGUAGAGGGUAGUGGAAUUUCAUGUGUAGCGGUGCAAUGCAAAGAUAUAGGAAGGAACACCAAUGCCGAAGGCGACUACCUGGACUGAUACUGACAUUGAGGUGCGAAAGCGUAGGGGAGCAAACA
This 423-nucleotide ribosomal RNA is filed under the name uncultured bacterium. RNAcentral describes it as "partial 16S ribosomal RNA". It matches the Rfam family "Bacterial small subunit ribosomal RNA", at positions 360 to 774 of the family's 1533-position model. The record is from RNAcentral.